AGUGAACGCUGGCGGUAGGCCUAACACAUGCAAGUCGAACGGCAGCACAGUAAGAGCUUGCUCUUACGGGUGGCGAGUGGCGGACGGGUGAGGAAUACAUCGGAAUCUACUUUUUCGUGGGGGAUAACGUAGGGAAACUUACGCUAAUACCGCAUACGACCUACGGGUGAAAGCAGGGGAUCUUCGGACCUUGCGCGAUUGAAUGAGCCGAUGUCGGAUUAGCUAGUUGGCGGGGUAAAGGCCCACCAAGGCGAGGAUCCGUAGCUGGUCUGAGAGGAUGAUCAGCCACACUGGAACUGAGACACGGUCCAGACUCCUACGGGAGGCAGCAGUGGGGAAUAUUGGACAAUGGGCGCAAGCCUGAUCCAGCCAUACCGCGUGGGUGGAGGAGGCCUUCGGGUUGUAAAGCCCUUUUGUUGGGAAAGAAAAGCAGCAGGUUAAUACCCCGCUGUUCUGACGGUACCCAAAGAAUAAGCACCGGCUAACUUCGUG
This 492-nucleotide ribosomal RNA is filed under the name uncultured bacterium. Its description in RNAcentral is "partial 16S ribosomal RNA". It matches the Rfam family "Bacterial small subunit ribosomal RNA", at positions 29 to 507 of the family's 1533-position model. The record is from RNAcentral.